UACAGAGGUGGCAAGCGUUGUUCGGAAUUACUGGGCGUAAAGGGCGCGUAGGCGGCCUUCUAAGUCAGGUGUGAAAGCCCGGGGCUCACCUCCGGAAGUGCGCUUGAAACUGGUCGGCUAGAGUACGGGAGAGGGAAGCGGAAUUCCUGGUGUAGCGGUGAAAUGCGUAGAUAUCAGGAGGAACACCGGCGGCGAAGGCGGCUUCCUGGACCGAUACUGACGCUGAGACGCGAAAGCGUGGGGAGCAAACAGG
RNAcentral lists this ribosomal RNA (253 nucleotides) under uncultured bacterium. RNAcentral's name for it is "partial 16S ribosomal RNA". It matches the Rfam family "Bacterial small subunit ribosomal RNA", at positions 524 to 776 of the family's 1533-position model. The record is from RNAcentral.